GACGAACGCUGGCGGCGUGCUUAACACAUGCAAGUCGAACGAUGAAGCUGGAGCUUGCUCUGGUGGAAGAGUGGCGAACGGGUGAGUAACACGUGAGUAACCUGCCCCGAACUCUGGGAUAAGCGCUGGAAACGGCGUCUAAUACUGGAUAUGACCCAUACAGGCAUCUGUUGUGGGUGGAAAGAUUUAUCGGUUCGGGAUGGGCUCGCGGCCUAUCAGCUAGAUGGUGAGGUAACGGCUCACCAUGGCGACGACGGGUAGCCGGCCUGAGAGGGUGGUCGGCCACACUGGGACUGAGACACGGCCCAGACUCCUACGGGAGGCAGCAGUGGGGAAUAUUGCGCAAUGGGCGGAAGCCUGACGCAGCGACGCCGCGUGGGUGACGAAGGCCUUCGGGUCGUAAAACCCUGUUGCAGGGACGGAAGGAAGUAGACGGUACCCUCGUGAGGAAGCCCGGCCUAACUACGUGCCAGCAGCCGCGGUAAACGAUAACUCGUA
Molecule: ribosomal RNA, 498 nt
Filed under: uncultured bacterium
Lineage: Bacteria
Description: bacterial SSU rRNA
Rfam family: Bacterial small subunit ribosomal RNA
Source: RNAcentral